Molecule: RNase P RNA, 398 nt
Filed under: zebrafish metagenome
Description: Bacterial RNase P class A
Rfam family: Bacterial RNase P class A
About the family: Ribonuclease P (RNase P) is a ubiquitous endoribonuclease, found in archaea, bacteria and eukarya as well as chloroplasts and mitochondria. Its best characterised activity is the generation of mature 5'-ends of tRNAs by cleaving the 5'-leader elements of precursor-tRNAs.
Source: RNAcentral
GAGGGUCGGAUGACCGCGUGGGCCUUCGGGCCCGCGAGGAAAGUCCGGACUCCAUGAAGUGACGGUGCCGGGUAACGCCCGGCGGGGGCAACCCCAGGGAAAGCGCAACAGAGAAGAGACCGCCCCGGCAGGUCCGGGGCAAGGGUGAAACGGUGGGGUAAGAGCCCACCGCGGGACGGGCAACCGGACCGGCUUGGCAAGCCCCACCGGGAGCAAUGCCGAAUAGGGAUCCCGCGCGGGACGCGCGUCCGAAGGGCGAAAGCCCCAAGGAGACCGCCGCAGGGCAGCUUCGGCCCGAGGGAUCCGGGUUGGCAGCUUGAUCCCGCCGGUAACGGCGGGGCCAGAGGAAUGGUCAUCCGGGGGGCAACCCCUGACAGAAUCCGGCUUACAGACCCUCC